RNAcentral lists this ribosomal RNA (730 nucleotides) under uncultured bacterium. RNAcentral's name for it is "bacterial SSU rRNA". It matches the Rfam family "Bacterial small subunit ribosomal RNA", at positions 754 to 1499 of the family's 1533-position model. The record is from RNAcentral.
GAAAAGCGUGGGGAGCGAACAGGAUUAGAUACCCUGGUAGUCCACGCCGUAAAACGAUGGAUACUAGCUGUUCGGAGCAAUCUGAGUGGCUAAGCGAAAGUGAUAAGUAUCCCACCUGGGGAGUACGCACGCAAGUGUGAAACUCAAAGGAAUUGACGGGGGCCCGCACAAGCGGAGGAGCAUGUGGUUUAAUUCGAUGAUACGCGAGGAACCUUACCAGGGCUUAAAUGGGAGACGACAGUUUGGGAAACCAGAUUUUCUUCGGACGUCUUUCAAGGUGCUGCAUGGUUGUCGUCAGCUCGUGCCGUGAGGUGUCAGGUUAAGUCCUAUAACGAGCGCAACCCCUAUUGUUAGUUGCCAGCGGGUCAUGCCGGGAACUCUAACAAGACUGCCGGUGCAAACCGUGAGGAAGGUGGGGAUGACGUCAAAUCAUCACGGCCCUUACGUCCUGGGCUACACACGUGCUACAAUGGACGGUACAGAGAGCAGCCACUGCGCAAGCAGGAGCGAAUCUUCAAAGCCGUUCUCAGUUCGGAUCGGAGUCUGCAACUCGACUCCGUGAAGCUGGAUUCGCUAGUAAUCGCAUAUCAGCCAUGAUGCGGUGAAUACGUUCCCGGGCCUUGUACACACCGCCCGUCAAGCCAUGGAAGCUGGGGGUACCUGAAGUCGGUGACCGCAAGGAGCUGCCUAGGGUAAAACUAGUAACUGGGGCUAAGUCGUAACAAGGUAC